RNAcentral lists this ribosomal RNA (253 nucleotides) under uncultured bacterium. RNAcentral describes it as "partial 16S ribosomal RNA". It matches the Rfam family "Bacterial small subunit ribosomal RNA", at positions 524 to 776 of the family's 1533-position model. The record is from RNAcentral.
UACGAAGGGGGCUAGCGUUGUUCGGAAUCACUGGGCGUAAAGCGCACGUAGGCGGCUUCGUAAGUCAGGGGUGAAAUCCCGGGGCUCAACCUCGGAACUGCCUUUGAUACUGCGGGUCUUGAGUCCGAUAGAGGUGGGUGGAAUUCCUAGUGUAGAGGUGAAAUUCGUAGAUAUUAGGAAGAACACCGGUGGCGAAGGCGGCCAUCUGGACGGAUACUGACGCUGAGACGCGAAAGCGUGGGGAGCAAACAGG